RNAcentral lists this ribosomal RNA (314 nucleotides) under uncultured bacterium. RNAcentral describes it as "partial 16S ribosomal RNA". It matches the Rfam family "Bacterial small subunit ribosomal RNA", at positions 499 to 807 of the family's 1533-position model. The record is from RNAcentral.
UUAUAAGAGACAGCAGCCGCCGCGGUAAUACGGAGGGUGCAAGCGUUAUCCGGAUUUAUUGGGUUUAAAGGGUCCGUAGGCGGAUCUGUAAGUCAGUGGUGAAAUCUCACAGCUUAACUGUGAAACUGCCAUUGAUACUGCAGGUCUUGAGUAAAUUUGAAGUGGCUGGAAUAAGUAGUGUAGCGGUGAAAUGCAUAGAUAUUACUUAGAACACCAAUUGCGAAGGCAGGUCACUAAGAUUUAACUGACGCUGAUGGACGAAAGCGUGGGGAGCGAACAGGAUUAGAUACCCCUGUAGUCCCUGUCUCUUAUAC